This 468-nucleotide ribosomal RNA is filed under the name uncultured bacterium. RNAcentral describes it as "partial 16S ribosomal RNA". It matches the Rfam family "Bacterial small subunit ribosomal RNA", at positions 28 to 507 of the family's 1533-position model. The record is from RNAcentral.
GACGAACGCUGGCGGCGUGCUUAACACAUGCAAGUCGAACGGAAAGGCCCUGCUUUUGUGCGGUGCUCGAGUGGCGAACGGGUGAGUAACACGUGAGUAACCUGUACUUGACUUUGGGAUAACUUCAGGAAACUGGGGCUCUUACCGGAUAGGAGCUCUUGCUGCAUGGUGGGCGUUGGAAAGUUUCGGCGGUUGGGGCUGGACUGGCGGCUUAUCAGCUUGUUGGUGGGGUAGUGGAUUACCAAGGCUUUGAAGGGUAGCCGGCCUGAGAGGGGGACCGGCCACAAUGCGCCUGAGGUACGGCCCAGACUCGUACCGGAGGCAACGGUGGAGAAUAUUGCACAACGGGCGGAAGCCAGAUGCGGCAACGCCGCGUGCGGGAUGACGGCCUUCGGGUUGUAAACCACUUUCGCCUUUGACGAGGCGUGAGUGACGGUAAUGGGUAAAGAAGCACCGACUAACUACGUG